This 73-nucleotide transfer RNA is filed under the name Stegodyphus mimosarum. It matches the Rfam family "tRNA". Rfam says of the family: Transfer RNA (tRNA) molecules are approximately 80 nucleotides in length. The record is from Rfam by way of RNAcentral. Lineage: Eukaryota; Metazoa; Arthropoda; Arachnida; Araneae; Eresidae.
GCCUUCGUGGUGUAGUGGUCAGCACGCUGGGCGCGUUUUCCAGAGGUUCGUGGUUCGAGUCCCGGCGAAGGCG